This 274-nucleotide ribosomal RNA is filed under the name uncultured bacterium. RNAcentral's name for it is "partial 16S ribosomal RNA". It matches the Rfam family "Bacterial small subunit ribosomal RNA", at positions 523 to 796 of the family's 1533-position model. The record is from RNAcentral.
AUACGGAGGGUGCAAGCGUUACUCGGAAUCACUGGGCGUAAAGCGCGCGCAGGCGGUCUUUUAAGUUGGAUGUGAAAGCCUACGGCUCAAUCGUAGAACUGCAUCCAAAACUAUUAGACUAGAGUGUGGGAGAGGAAGAUGGAAUUAGUUGUGUAGGGGUAAAAUCCGUAGAGAUAACUAGGAAUACCAAAAGCGAAGGCAAUCUUCUGGAACACUACUGACGCUGAGGCGCGAAAGCGUGGGGAGCAAACAGGAUUAGAUACCCUAGUAGUCC